This 447-nucleotide ribosomal RNA is filed under the name Creaserinus brevistylus. RNAcentral describes it as "partial large subunit ribosomal RNA". It matches the Rfam family "Archaeal large subunit ribosomal RNA", at positions 2048 to 2703 of the family's 2987-position model. The record is from RNAcentral. Lineage: Eukaryota; Metazoa; Arthropoda; Malacostraca; Decapoda; Cambaridae.
GUUUUUUAAUUGAAGGCUGGAAUGAAUGGUUGGACAAGAAAUAAUCUGUCUUAAUUAAAGAUAUUGAAUUUAACUUUUAAGUGAAAAGGCUUAAAUGAUCUGAAGGGACGAUAAGACCCUAUAAAACUUUAUAUUUAAAGGUAUAAAUUAUUUUUAUUUUUAUGUUAAUAUUUAAGAGUAUUUGGUUGGGGCGACAAGGAUAGGAUAUUAAGUAACUGUCUUUAUUUAAAACAAUAAUAUUUGGUUUAAUGAUCCUAAAAGGGAUUAAAGAUUAAGUUACUUUAGGGAUAACAGCGUAAUUUUCUUUGAGAGUUCUUAUCGACAGGAAAGUUUGCGACCUCGAUGUUGAAUUAAAGGUUCUUUAUAGAGUAGAGACUAUAAUAGAAGGUCUGUUCGACCUUUAAAAUUUUACAUGAUUUGAGUUCAGACCGGUGUGAGCCAGGUUGG